Molecule: long non-coding RNA, 500 nt
Organism: Xenia sp. Carnegie-2017
Lineage: Eukaryota; Metazoa; Cnidaria; Anthozoa; Malacalcyonacea; Xeniidae
Exons: 3
Source: RefSeq, a predicted model, not a curated record
UAGAUCACAAAGUUUGCUAAUUUAUAUUGGUACUUUGAGACUCCUUACAUGACGUUUCCCCAACACACCCGAGGUCAAAUGCAGCAAUGUGUAUAGUUCGUUAUUGAGGAUGAUGUGUAGAUUAUUUUAAAUAGGGAAGGAUAUUUAUACGAUAUAGUUAAUUGUAACUGUUUAAUUUCAACGUAUGUUUACAUUAAAUUACAUCCUUAAGCCAACUUUACUAAUAUUGAUCGCUAUUUUCAUGUUAUACAUCUAUAAUCAUCUUGUUAAAGAUUUGAAGCUUUGCUGCGAUAAUACAGCAGAGAAUUAUUCUCAUUAUGAUUCAUUACGAUUCUCAUUAUGACGACAUUCAUCACUAAAUAAAAGAGAACGUUUACAACGUAAUCAUGGACAAAUAAGACUACAUCAACAAAGCGAAGACCCUCUUACAAGACACCAACACGUAUGAACCUCUCCAAACAGACCCCAACAAAACCACUACAAACCGCAUCAACAAGAAA